Molecule: ribosomal RNA, 521 nt
Filed under: Septoria lycopersici (tomato leaf spot fungus)
Lineage: Eukaryota; Fungi; Ascomycota; Dothideomycetes; Mycosphaerellales; Mycosphaerellaceae
Description: eukaryotic LSU rRNA
Rfam family: 5.8S ribosomal RNA (bases 164-317)
Source: RNAcentral
AUAUGAAGGCCGGGCUGGAACCCUCUGGGGGGUGACAGCCUUGACUGAAUUAUUCACCCUUGUCUUUUGCGUACUUCUUGUUUCCUGGGUGGGUUCGCCCACCACUAGGACAAACAUAACGUUUUGUAAUUGCAAUCAGCGUCAGUAACAAAUUAAUAAUUACAACUUUCAACAACGGAUCUCUUGGUUCUGGCAUCGAUGAAGAACGCAGCGAAAUGCGAUAAGUAGUGUGAAUUGCAGAAUUCAGUGAAUCAUCGAAUCUUUGAACGCACAUUGCGCCCUUUGGUAUUCCAAAGGGCAUGCCUGUUCGAGCGUCAUUUGUACCCUCAAGCUUUGCUUGGUGUUGGGCGUCUUGUCUCUAGCUUUGCUGGAGACUCGCCUUAAAGUAAUUGGCAGCCGGCCUACUGGUUUCGGAGCGCAGCACAAGUCGCACUCUCUAUCAGCAAAGGUUAGCAUCCAUUAAGCCUUUUUUUCAACUUUUGACCUCGGAUCAGUAGGAUACCGGCAGACUAAAAGGAAGG